GAGGGAUUAAAAGAGGAAGGAUGGUGCGUUCCAUUAGGAAAAGAAGAAACCCGCUUGAAUUGAGCAUAUGAAAAUGGUGAUGUAAAGGAAAGUAAAGAAGAAAUCCCUCAUCUCUGGUCAGGUCUUGAUCUCCGCUUUCCCUUUAGGCUUGUUAUGUUUGGGGCUGGGCUCUAAUUCCUUUGUUUCUGUUUCUACAGAAAAGGCAGCGAGAUCGGGAUCAACUACCACGAUGUUUUUUGGUGCUUCAUGUUUAACCAUCUUACGAAUUAUUCAAGAGAUUUCACGUACCAAGUCAGCAUAUCGAUUUGAUUCCAUUGAGAGUUGAUACUUCUUUGCUUAACAGCAAUAUAACCAAUUCUAGAUUGGAUCCAGCAUUAUUAAGAUUUC
RNAcentral lists this unclassified non-coding RNA (387 nucleotides) under Hevea brasiliensis (rubber tree). Lineage: Eukaryota; Viridiplantae; Streptophyta; Magnoliopsida; Malpighiales; Euphorbiaceae. The record is from RNAcentral.